GAUGAAGAACGUAGCGAAAUGUGAUACUUGGUGUGAAUUGCAGAAUCCCGUGAACCAUCGAGUUUUUGAACGCAAGUUGCGCCCGAAGCCGUUAGGCCGAGGGCACGCCUGCCUGGGUGUCACACAUCGUUGCCCCAAUGCCAAUCGCCUCACUUUGUAGGUAUUUGCAUGGGGUGAAUGUUGGCCUCCCGUGAGCUUUGUCUCACGGUUGGUUGAAAAUCGAGUGCAUGGUGUCGGGUGUACCAUGAUGGAUGGUGGUUGAGUGAUGAUGCUCGAGACCAAUCAUGGGUAACUCCACCAGAAUUGGGCUCGGUGACCCACAUGCGUCCCUUGGAUGCUCCCUAAGGAGACCUCAGGUCAAGCGGGGCUACCCGCUGAGUUUAAGCAUAUCAAUAAGCGGAGGA
Molecule: unclassified non-coding RNA, 404 nt
Filed under: soil metagenome
Description: partial contains 5.8S ribosomal RNA, internal transcribed spacer 2, and large subunit ribosomal RNA
Rfam family: 5.8S ribosomal RNA (bases 1-122)
Source: RNAcentral